AAAGUUUAACGGCCGCGGUAUUUUGACCGUGCGAAGGUAGCGUAAUCACUUGUCUUUUAAAUAGAGACCUGUAUGAAUGGCAUAACGAGGGCCAUGCUGUCUCCUUUUUCCAGUCAAUGAAAUUGAUCUACCCGUGCAGAAGCGGGUAUUAAAACAUAAGACGAGAAGACCCUAUGGAGCUUUAGACACCAAAGCAGCCAGUGUUAAAGAGCCCUAUGAAGGGAAAAAACAAAACUGACUCUGCUUAUUUGUCUUUGGUUGGGGCGACCGCGGAGAACAAUAAAACCCCCGCGUGGAAUGGGACAUCCCUGAAACAAGGCAGACAGGCCUAGUAUCCAGAAAAUCUGACCUAAAGAUCCGGCUAUGCCGAUCAACGGACCCAGUUACCCUAGGGAUAACAGCGCAAUCCCCUUUUAGAGCCCACAUCGACAAGGGGGUUUACGACCUCGAUGUUGGAUCAGGACCUCCUAAUGGUGCAGCCGCUAU
This 486-nucleotide ribosomal RNA is filed under the name Ponticola kessleri (bighead goby). Its description in RNAcentral is "partial 16S ribosomal RNA". It matches the Rfam family "Bacterial large subunit ribosomal RNA", at positions 1919 to 2565 of the family's 2925-position model. The record is from RNAcentral. Lineage: Eukaryota; Metazoa; Chordata; Actinopteri; Gobiiformes; Gobiidae.